AUUGAACGCUGGCGGCAUGCUUCACACAUGCAAGUCGAACGGUAACAGGUUAAGCUGACGAGUGGCGAACGGGUGAGUAAUGCAUCGGAACGUGCCCGAUCGUGGGGGAUAACGCAGCGAAAGCUGCGCUAAUACCGCAUACGAUCUGAGGAUGAAAGCGGGGGACCGUAAGGCCUCGCGCGAUCGGAGCGGCCGAUGUCAGAUUAGGUAGUUGGUGGGGUAAAGGCUCACCAAGCCAACGAUCUGUAGCUGGUCUGAGAGGACGACCAGCCACACUGGGACUGAGACACGGCCCUGACUCCUACGGGAGGCAGCAGUGGGGAAUUUUGGACAAUGGGCGAAAGCCUGAUCCAGCAAUGCCGCGUGCAGGAAGAAGGCCUUCGGGUUGUAAACUGCUUUUGUACGGAGCGAAAAGGUCUCCUCUAAUACAGGGGGCUCAUGACGGUACCGUAAGAAUAAGCACCGGCUAACUACGUGCCAGCCGCCGCCGUAA
Molecule: ribosomal RNA, 493 nt
Filed under: uncultured bacterium
Lineage: Bacteria
Description: partial 16S ribosomal RNA
Rfam family: Bacterial small subunit ribosomal RNA
Source: RNAcentral